GAUGAACGCUGGCGGCGUGCCUAAUACAUGCAAGUCGAGCGAACAGAUGAGGAGCUUGCUCCUCUGACGUUAGCGGCGGACGGGUGAGUAACACGUGGAUAACCUACCUAUAAGACUGGGAUAACUUCGGGAAACCGGAGCUAAUACCGGAUAAUAUAUUGAACCGCAUGGUUCAAUAGUGAAAGACGGUUUUGCUGUCACUUAUAGAUGGAUCCGCGCCGCAUUAGCUAGUUGGUAAGGUAACGGCUUACCAAGGCAACGAUGCGUAGCCGACCUGAGAGGGUGAUCGGCCACACUGGAACUGAGACACGGUCCAGACCCCUACGGGAGGCAGCAGGAGGGAAACUUCCGCAAUGGGCGAAAGCCUGACGGAGCAACGCCGCGUGAGUGAUGAAGGUCUUCGGAUCGUAAAACUCUGUUAUUAGGGAAGAACAAAUGUGUAAGUAACUAUGCACGUCUUGACGGUACCUAAUCAGAAAGCCACGGCUAACUACGUG
This 497-nucleotide ribosomal RNA is filed under the name uncultured bacterium. RNAcentral's name for it is "partial 16S ribosomal RNA". It matches the Rfam family "Bacterial small subunit ribosomal RNA", at positions 28 to 507 of the family's 1533-position model. The record is from RNAcentral.